CUGCUGCCUCCCGUAGGAGUUUGGGCCGUGUCUCAGUCCCAAUGUGGCCGUCCACCCUCUCAGGCCGGCUACUGAUCGUCGGCUUGGUGGGCCGUUACCCCGCCAACUACCUAAUCAGACGCGGGUCCAUCUUACACCACCGGAGUUUUCCGCACCAGGCCAUGCGGCCCUGUGCGCAUAUGCGGUAUUAGCAGCCGUUUCCAGCUGUUGUCCCCCUGUGUAAGGCAGGUUGCCCACGCGUUACUCACCCGUCCGCCACU
Molecule: ribosomal RNA, 260 nt
Filed under: uncultured bacterium
Lineage: Bacteria
Description: partial 16S ribosomal RNA
Source: RNAcentral